GGGAGUGUGCAGGAGUUGGGGAUGCAGAUGGCCCUGCCCGGAAGGGGGCCGCCCCCAGGAAUCCAGGCUGUGCCUCCUUCCAGGGAACUGCGACCAAAGCCCAAAGGAAGGAGGAAGUGCGAGCCUUGCUCCCCAGUGACUCACUACAUCCUUUGGGGCAAGUCAACUCUCACCGGGGCAGGAAGCCUGCCCGCCUUCCCCCAGGGGAUCCUCUGCCCUGGGUCAGCCUAUUCAAAACACCGGCCCAAUUCGCCCACCCACACCCUUCAUUCUUCUACCUCGAGAUGUUUGCAGAUACCUGCCUGGGUCCACAAGGAAACAUCCUGACCCUGUCCACCUGUGGAUGGCUGCAAGAAAGAAGAAAUUGGGACUUGCCUGGUGGUCCAGUGGUAAAGAAUCCGCCUUCUGAUGCAGGGGACAUGGGUUCGAUCCCUGGUUGGGGAACUAAGAUCCCACAUGCCGUGGGGCAAAUAAGCCCGCAUGCCACAACUACUGAGCCCGCGUGCCUCAACUAGAGAGAAAAAAACCCACACGCCACAACUAGAGAGAAGCCCGCGCUACAAUGAAAGAUCCCAAGUGCCUCAACUAAGACCUGACGCAGCCAAAUAUAAAAAUAAAAUAAAUAAAAAUAAAAUAAAUAAAUAUUUUUAAAAAAGAAAGAAAGAAGAAAUGAACACAUCCCCUCCCUGAGGCUGGCCAUUCCAGGGGACAUUUGCAAAUCUUAUGGCCUUUUUACUUGACUUCCUCAUCUCCUCCCCUUCUCUGUUCUGUAAAAGAAACUGGCAUCCAAACCCCGCGAAGAUGGUUCUUCGGAGACAUUAGUUUGCCAUCUUCUCGUUCUGCCGGCUUUCCGAAUAAAGUCGUUAAUCCUUGC
Long non-coding RNA from Balaenoptera ricei (Rice's whale), 874 nucleotides. RefSeq lists it as uncharacterized. NCBI's taxonomy places the organism in Eukaryota, Metazoa, Chordata, Mammalia, Artiodactyla, Balaenopteridae. The transcript has 2 exons. The record is from RefSeq and is a predicted model, not a curated record.